Molecule: ribosomal RNA, 1971 nt
Filed under: Triticum aestivum (bread wheat)
Lineage: Eukaryota; Viridiplantae; Streptophyta; Magnoliopsida; Poales; Poaceae
Description: partial small subunit ribosomal RNA
Source: RNAcentral
AUGGCUAAGGCCUGCUGGUUCUUGGUCUUUGUGGGGGUGUGGUGGCGGCCACUGAUGCUCGUGGUGGCCGAGGACCAGCAGGGUGGAGACUGCUCGGACGAGAAGUGCGGCAACGUCAGCAUCUUGGAUCCUUUCUGGCUCACCGACAAAGCUACGGGAAAAUCAUGCAGUUCUGAUCCCCACCCGGGCUACGAUGUCGCUUGCACCAACAACAGCGAUCCAACUCUACGGAGCUCUAUACCCCUCAACAGAGGCUUCAAAAUCCUCAACAUCUCUUACGAGCAACGCAGCUUCCAUGCCGUUGAUGUCGGCAAGCUGGACGUAUUGAACGCCACCGACAAGUGCCUUGCGGUGUUCUAUAACACCUCAGUCAAACUGAAGGGACGCCCGUUCAAGAUCGCCCCCGUCAACCUGAACCUCAUCCUGUACAACUGCACCGAGGAGGACGGAGCAGCGGCCGCGGCACGUCAGAACAUAGAGCUGGUGAAGAUGAACGUGAGCUGCAUGAACGAGUGGGAGGUGCUUGUCCGCGCGGGAGUAUCUCACGACGCGACCGGGAACUAUGCUAGCUACGCUCUGGAGGGCUGCAAUGCUCUCAUCAUGCCGGUGCUGGCCUCGUCGGCAGGGGCGAAUGCGAGCGAUUACGAGCAGCUCAUGAGGGAUGGCUUCCUCCUGACAUGGGAUGUGCCGCUCCCGCCUCAUCCCCCUAUCUUUCCACGUAGCAGCGAGAGGAGAGGGAAGAAGAUUAUGGUAAUAGGUAUGACAUCAGUAGCUGCAACAUUUCUCUUUGCAUGUCUUUAUGUGCUGAUAUGGCAUAGAAAGGGGAAAAGACUAUGGUUUCUCCUUUGCAAGAAGACUAGCAGCACCACUGAAAAGAAUUAUGAGGCCAUGAUAGUGUCGUAUGGAUCCCUAGCUCCAACAAGAUACACGUACUCAGAGGUAAUGAAGAUAACAUCUUCUCGCAACAAUCAGCUUGGGAAAGGUGGUUAUGGUGUGGUUUUCAAAGGAAGACUACAUGAUGGUCCUCUGGUGGCUGUGAAAUUCUUGCAUGACUGCAAAGGAAAUGGGGACGAGUUUGUGAAUGAGGUCAUGAGCAUUGGCAGGACCUCUCAUGUUAAUGUUGUUAGCUUAUUUGGGUUUUGUUUGGAGGGAUCAAAACGAGCUCUUAUAUACGAGUACAUGCCCAACGGUUCCUUGGAUCAGUACAUUUAUUCAGAGCACCCCAAAGAAAUUUUAGGAUGGGAGAGGCUUUAUGCGAUAGCAAUCGGGAUUGCGCGUGGCCUCGAAUACUUGCACCAUAGCUGUAAUACACGUAUCGUCCAUUUCGAUAUCAAGCCCCAAAAUAUCCUUCUAGACAAAGAUUUUAGCCCAAAGAUUGCUGAUUUUGGUCUAGCUAAGUUGUGUCAUACAAAGGAGAGCAAUCUUUCAAUGACUGGAGCUAGAGGAACAAUUGGAUUCAUCGCCCCAGAAGUUCACUCUCGAACCUUCGGGGUGGUUUCAACAAAGUCAGAUGUUUAUAGUUAUGGAAUGAUGCUGCUGGAGAUGGUUGGAGGUAGGAGAAACGUAAAAUCAAUUGUUGCAAAAUCCAGCGAAAAGUAUUUUCCAGAUUGGAUUUACGAUCACUUUGCACAAGAUGAUGGACUACAAGCAUGUGAAGUGACAAGAGAAAUUGAGGAGAUUGCGAGAAAGAUGACAUUCAUUGGCUUGUGGUGCAUACAAGUGUUACCUAUGUAUCGCCCUACUAUAACCAAAGUUCUAGAAAUGUUUGAGAGAAGCUUAGAUGAUCUGGACAUGCCGCCGAAGCAGAACUUCUGUGAACUACUUGAAAGUUCAGCUCACAAUAUGGAUGUACAAAGUUCAAGUUCUACCAGAUCUGAGCAGAUAGGCCUUGUGAAUCAAGACUGUGAGAAGGUGGCCUGUACUAGAGUACAUUCAGAAAUUGAACAAGCGCAGCGAAAUUCGGCAUUGUAG